Molecule: long non-coding RNA, 565 nt
Filed under: Brassica napus (rape)
Lineage: Eukaryota; Viridiplantae; Streptophyta; Magnoliopsida; Brassicales; Brassicaceae
Description: long non-coding RNA (BNAP_LNC013365)
Source: RNAcentral
UGAUGGUGUUUAAAAGAAAGGUACAAACAAAACUGUCUUUGGCAAUUUGUAAUAUAAAGCUUUGUUAUCUCAUGUCUUUUUUUAUUGUUUACAAUCAUUAGAGAAUGAGAGUUUAGACAUUGAGAGGUUUUCAAAAUUGUUGAAAUCGAAGAAGAGGAAGUUUAAUAAGAGAGAAUCAAUCAACUUUCACAGCAUUUGUUUUCAUAUCUGUUUCUCCAGCUUAGAUUCAUAUCUUGUAAGUUACUUUGAUUGUUUGAUCAUAUGCAAUCUCUCAGAUACUCUAGAGAACGGCCUUUGAAGAGAGCAAGAUGGACUCAAGACGCAUGUACAUUGUCUCUUAUUUGCUCCUCUUUUUAUCAACAGUGUUACACAAGAAACUGUUCACUGUUGUAGAUCUGCAGAAAUUGGAUGACUUUGAGAAGCUUGAAGCAAAGUCUCAGGUACAACAUAAACAGUUUACAGUUCAAUGGAGCCACACAGUAAAUCACAUUUUCUUUGCAAGGAAGAAAAUGAACAAGGAGAAGAUGGUGAUGAAGUUGGGGAAUCUGAGGGAGAAGAUUCUGAU